GAUGCAACGCGAAGAACCUUACCACUUCUUGACAUGGAGAUUAGAUCCUUCUUAACAGAAGGGCGCAGUUCGGCUGGAUCUCGCACAGGUGCUGCAUGGCUGUCGUCAGCUCGUGUCGUGAGAUGUUGGGUUAAGUCCCGCAACGAGCGCAACCCUCAUCCUUAGUUGCCAGCGGGUUGAGCCGGGCACUUUAAGGAGACUGCCAGUGGUAAACUGGAGGAAGGUGGGGAUGAUGUCAAGUCAGCACGGCCCUUAUGGGGUGGGCUACACACGUGCUACAAUGGU
RNAcentral lists this ribosomal RNA (285 nucleotides) under uncultured Anaplasma sp. RNAcentral's name for it is "partial 16S ribosomal RNA". It matches the Rfam family "Bacterial small subunit ribosomal RNA", at positions 953 to 1234 of the family's 1533-position model. Lineage: Bacteria; Pseudomonadati; Pseudomonadota; Alphaproteobacteria; Rickettsiales; Anaplasmataceae. The record is from RNAcentral.